GGGGGCGUACUGGUUUCGACGGGGACGUAGAGGCGGGAAUAGCGGGCGGAUGCGCCUAUCAUCCUUAAAAUGGGCAGCUUAUAAAUUAAAGAACAACGAUAACGUUGAGCUUGUCGCGGCUUAAGCCGUGACCGUCCCGUCCGGAAGGACCACGAGCCGGAACGGGGCGUCGUUUAGUGGUGCACGUGUGUGCGCAAAGCUUUGAGCGCACCAUGAACAAUGAAGCUACCAAGCCCUGUAGUUUGACGGCCUACGCCGGGGUAAGGGAAUGUAAAUGACCGUCUGCGCCCGGAGAGGUUCCCGAGGAAGCGUUUUCGGACGGGGGUUCGACUCCCCCCGCCUCCACCA
Flavonifractor plautii ATCC 29863 is the source of this 348-nucleotide non-coding RNA. NCBI's taxonomy places the organism in Bacteria, Bacillati, Bacillota, Clostridia, Eubacteriales, Oscillospiraceae. The record is from Rfam.